GAUCCUGGCUCAGGAUGAACGCUAGCUACAGGCUUAACACAUGCAAGUCGAGGGGAAACGACAUCGAAAGCUUGCUUUUGAUGGGCGUCGACCGGCGCACGGGUGAGUAACGCGUAUCCAACCUGCCCGCCACUUGGGGAUAACCUUGCGAAAGUAAGACUAAUACCCAAUGACAUCCCACGAAGACAUCUGAAUGGGAUUAAAGGUUUACCGGUGUAAGAUGGGGAUGCGUUCCAUUAGAUAGUAGGCGGGGUAACGG
RNAcentral lists this ribosomal RNA (259 nucleotides) under uncultured bacterium. RNAcentral describes it as "partial 16S ribosomal RNA". It matches the Rfam family "Bacterial small subunit ribosomal RNA", at positions 15 to 263 of the family's 1533-position model. The record is from RNAcentral.